Molecule: ribosomal RNA, 465 nt
Filed under: uncultured bacterium
Lineage: Bacteria
Description: partial 16S ribosomal RNA
Rfam family: Bacterial small subunit ribosomal RNA
Source: RNAcentral
GACGAACGCUGGCGGCGUGCUUAACACAUGCAAGUCGAACGGAAAGGCCCCUUUUGGGGUCCUCGAGUGGCGCACGGGUGAGUAACACGUGAGUAACCUGCCCUUGACUUCGGGAUAACUUCAGGAAACUGGGGCUAAUACCGGCUAGGAAUCCUUGCUGCAUGGUGGGGGUUGGAAAGCUUCGGCGGUUUUGGAUGGACUCGCGGCUUAUCAGCUUGUUGGUGGGGUAGUGGCUUACCAAGGCUUUGACGGGUAGCCGGCCUGAGAGGGCGACCGGCCACAUUGGGACUGAGAUACGGCCCAGACUCCUACGGGAGGCAGCAGUGGGGAAUAUUGCACAAUGGGCGGAAGCCUGAUGCAGCAACGCCGCGUGCGGGAUGACGGCCUUCGGGUUGUAAACCGCUUUCAGCAGGGGCGAAGCUUGUGGUGACGGUACCUGCAGAAGAAGCACCGGCUAACUACGUG